GCCGGAUACAAAAAAACUAAUAAUAAAUGCAUUACAAACAUACCCAGUUCAAAAAAACGACAUUUGUACAUCUCCUAUAUCAAUUUCUAAAAUAGGAAUCAUCUCAUAGAUCAAAACAGGUCAAAAAACAAAAUCCCAGAAAUGAGAAAAUACACCAAUUAUAAUAUCGAAGAUCCACAAAAAAAAAUACGACAAUUUCAGAUUUGUUAUCGUAAUCGACGAUCGAAACGUACCGGAUUUCUCAGCUUAUUGUUCGA
This 257-nucleotide unclassified non-coding RNA is filed under the name Hevea brasiliensis (rubber tree). Lineage: Eukaryota; Viridiplantae; Streptophyta; Magnoliopsida; Malpighiales; Euphorbiaceae. The record is from RNAcentral.